Prosopis cineraria is the source of this 1525-nucleotide long non-coding RNA. RefSeq lists it as uncharacterized. NCBI's taxonomy places the organism in Eukaryota, Viridiplantae, Streptophyta, Magnoliopsida, Fabales, Fabaceae. The record is from RefSeq and is a predicted model, not a curated record. The transcript is spliced from 2 exons.
CUUAUUCUCACCUCAACAAGGUGUUAUGGUCUUAGGCUCGUAGCAUAUCUUUCAUUGCUGUGUUCUGGAUUGCUGCGUUUUGUUGGUUGGUUAGUUGUGUGUGUGUGUGUGUGUGUGUUUGUUGGCGGUAAUAUGAUAAGAGUAGAUAACGAUGGUAGCGUAGCAUAGUGUGAAAGCGAAUUGCCUCUCCUUUCGGCUGCAAGGGCUGAGAUCUUAAGAUCGAUUUCUUGACGGCUUUGUUCUGGAGGCAUACAUCCAUACUCUGACCAAAGUCUCUGAGGGACUCAUCUUUAUCCAGAUUGUACUUUCCUCCUCUUCUGGAUUUCCCAUUUUGGUUACAUUUCCUGUUCUGUCCGUGCUUUGGAUAGAUUCAUGUCGAGAACCGAAAUAGAUUAGAUUAGAUGAUAUAUAGAGUUGCUAGUUGUACUUUUUGUGCUGGUUUGCUGGCCCUCAAUCUCGAUUUGGAUGAACAGUUUUAUCUUAAGUCUUUGUGAAUUUGAUUUUGGGAUAGGUUAUUGCUCUGAUGUUGGUAGCAACCAGGGAUUAAUCAUUAGAUUUAGCGAUCUCCAUUUUGUCUGUUUUUAACAUGUUAAUGCAAAGUAUCAAUUAAAAAUAUAAAAAAUAGAUUAUAUAAAUACUUUUAUUAACAAACUAUCCUUAUAUGUAAUUAAAGGAUUAUCGCAUCACACACACACACUAUACACAACCCAUCUCUUUAUAUAUGUGCUUCCGGGUUUCCAUCUAUCUGAAAUUGAGUGGAAGGAAUGAAGCCAUGCAACAAACCCACUUGCUACCAUAUUAACCUCACGUUGGCCAACAAUUUCUUCUUUGGUCCAAUGAAAUGGAACGGUUGGGAAUGAAAUGUGAAGAUGAUUACUAUGAACAAGGCAUCGCAUAAAAAGGUUUUAUGGGCACAGUUGGAAUUUGAUGUGCCCGUGUGCUCACCAUCCUCCCAAAAUCAGUCCAUUCAAAGCACCCAAAGAAUGUCUUGAAGAGGAAUGAUGACGGAUUUCAAGAUCGGGAUUGUGGGUUCAGACCGAACGAGAAACAUGUAGGUGUUAGUGGUGUCGUGGGUUCAGUUUCAAGAAAGUCGAUGUCGGGUUCGUGGGUUCAGAUCUGGAUUAGGGAAGAACGAUUUCAAGAACAACAUGUGGGAGCUCAUGGUUCUGGUUCAGAGGGUGGCUUGGAGAUCCAGAACGAACCAUUUUUGAUUUUGAAGGAGAAGAGGACGAAGUGUCGACGAUGAGAAAGGAAGGUGGUGGUGGGGCAUCGGAGAAGAGGUUCGCCGGUGAGGGUUGUGACAAUGUGAGGGAAGGUUGUCGGAGAUGAGGAGACCAACCAAGAUGAGGCGGGUUAAUGAGUAAUGGAUAUAUUCUAAAUAUGUACUCAUCCUAGAUAUUUAAUAUUUUUAGAUUUUUUUUUAUUUUAUCUUUGUAUGACUAAUCCUCCUUUCUUGUGCAACAUGAGAAUCUUUCAUUUCCUGAUUCCAUUGGCAGCUUUAUAUCAUUUUAACUCUUUUACAUGA